RNAcentral lists this ribosomal RNA (381 nucleotides) under uncultured bacterium. RNAcentral describes it as "bacterial SSU rRNA". It matches the Rfam family "Bacterial small subunit ribosomal RNA", at positions 28 to 408 of the family's 1533-position model. The record is from RNAcentral.
GACGAACGCUGGCGGCGUGCUUAACACAUGCAAGUCGAGCGGUAAGGCCCUUUCGGGGGUACACGAGCGGCGAACGGGUGAGUAACACGUGGGUGACCUGCCCUCAGCUCUGGGAUAAGCCUGGGAAACCGGGUCUAAUACUGGAUAUGACUCCAUGACGCAUGUUGUGGGGUGGAAAGCCUUGUGCGGCUGAGGAUGGGGCCCGCGGCCUAUCAGCUUGUUGGUGGGGGGAUGGCCUACCAAGGCGACGACGGGUAGCCGGCCUGAGAGGGCGACCGGCCACACUGGGACUGAGACACGGCCCAGACUCCUACGGGAGGCAGCAGUGGGGAAUCUUGCGCAAUGGGCGAAAGCCUGACGCAGCGACGCCGCCGUGAGGGA